CAACAAAUAAAUACAAAAUGCACAUCUUGCAAUCUAGUUUUAUAAUUUUGUUUGAUUUGAUCGUUUCUUGGAUUUGUAAACUUUAACAAUCACGUGACUUCCAGCAGGAGGGACUUUGCGUGGCUUCUUCUGAACAAGAGUUCCCCUCAGUCCGUCGAAGUAGAAGAUGAAAUCUCCUGUAAAAUCAUGGACCGACUUGCGAGCGUCAUUGGACAACAACAUAUAGGUCUGACGGUGGGAUUGAGUUUGAUGAUCAUCGUCGUGAUUGUCGUCCUUGCGGCGGUUGUUUACACUCCACCGGGCGCUACAACGCGCUGCUUGAGAAGAAGCAGGAGUGAAGAACACCUCUCCCUGACUGCUAACAGAAUUUCAUGACUGCUAACAGAAACACGUGAACUUUAUGGAUCUCAGUGUUGGACCCACUAUGGGAACAUUUUAGCCCUUUAGAAAAAUGACCUCCAAACAAAUCACAGUUUCCAAAGACAUGGAAAUGUAAUAAAAUGUUAAAAGUCGUUGAUAUUUCUAAAAUGAAUGUCUCUGUUCCGAUGUUCUGCAUGGAAGCAUUUAGUUGGCCUUCAUUAUGAAGAAUUCUAAGGCCAUUUUUUGUUCACAAGUAUGAUGAUGUAGGGCUUACAUCUCUAAAUUUGUAUACCUGUCAUACAAAUGUAAAUCCUCCCCAGCAGUCUCUUUAAAAUUAUGUUUAAAAAAUACUUAUUAGGAAUAACUGGAAAAGCCAUGGAAAUUAAUUGCCGAGAAAAUUAUGGGAACCCUGUAUAUUAAUUGUGUCCCUAUUGAACUACCACUAAAGAAUAUUUUAAACUAGAGCUUUGUAUACUUUCUCCAAUUGUUACACAUUUCUAUUAAAUGGUAUAUAAUUAAAAUGUGUAUAGCCUACUUUGUCAUGUUGAUUUAAUAGUUUAGCCAAGAACAUGAGCUCAAUACCUAGGCUACUCCUUAAUCGGGUUAGACGCCAUAUUGAAUUUAAGGUGGAUGAAAAUGGGGCUGUGAGGUCUUUGCAAUGGCACGAACUGUAUAAAGGUCC
RNAcentral lists this long non-coding RNA (1042 nucleotides) under Sinocyclocheilus grahami. RNAcentral's name for it is "lncRNA (ENSSGRG00000042429.1)". The record is from RNAcentral. Lineage: Eukaryota; Metazoa; Chordata; Actinopteri; Cypriniformes; Cyprinidae.